AUACGGAGGAUGCAAGCGUUAUCCGGAUUUAUUGGGUUUAAAGGGUGCGUAGGCUGUUCGGAAAGUCAGGGGUGAAAGCCCGGCGCCUAACGCCGGAACUGCCUUUGAUACUUCCGAGCUGGAAUACGGAUGCCGUGGGAGGAAUGAGUAGUGUAGCGGUGAAAUGCAUAGAUAUUACUCAGAACACCGAUUGCGAAGGCAUCUCCCGAGGCCGUCAUUGACGCGGAGGCACGAAAGCGUGGGGAUCAAACAGGAUUAGAUACCCUGGUAGUCCACGCAGUAAACGAUGAUGACUAACCGUCGGCGAUACACAGCCGGUGGCCAAGCGAAAGCGAUAAGGCAUCCACCUGGGGAGUACGUUCGCAAGAAUGAAACUUAAAGGAAUUGACGGGG
Molecule: ribosomal RNA, 393 nt
Filed under: uncultured bacterium
Lineage: Bacteria
Description: partial 16S ribosomal RNA
Rfam family: Bacterial small subunit ribosomal RNA
Source: RNAcentral